This 101-nucleotide microRNA precursor is filed under the name Nomascus leucogenys (northern white-cheeked gibbon). Its description in RNAcentral is "miRNA (ENSNLEG00000030231.1)". Lineage: Eukaryota; Metazoa; Chordata; Mammalia; Primates; Hylobatidae. The record is from RNAcentral.
GAGGUAGGAGGAUCAAUUGAGUGUCCAGGGAGGUUGAGGCUGCAGUGAGCUGUGAUCACACCACUGCACUCCAGCCUGAGUGACAGAGCAAGAUCCUGUCU